GAUUAACUGGGUUUGAGCUGGGGCUUAGGAAUGUACUUCUAACAAGUUCUCAGACCCUGCUGGUGCUGCUGGUCUGGGAUCACACGCUGGAACCCCUGGGGAGCUGUUGACACUGGGGGACAACCAGCUGAGUUCUGUUUUAUUUUUUUGGCCACGUCAUGUGGCUCGUGGGGUCCUAGUUCUCUGACCAGGGAUUGAACCCAGGCUCUUGAUAGUGAAAGUGCUGAGUCCUAACCACUGGACCACCAGGGAACUCCCCAACUGGAUUCUAAAGAGGAGUCCAGCCUCCGUUUGCCAGGGAUUCAGGCUAAAUAUUCACCUGUGUGUAACUUUUGCACCUGUCAUUUGUCAGGCACAAGGGCCCAAAGACUUGUCACUUAUUGAGUGGAGGAGUGUUCUGGGAGGGGAGGUAGGUAGCUAAGUAGCCCUGAUGGGGGCUCUCAGAAAGGCACCCCAGGGCUUGGCGGUCGGCAUGGCUGCCCUCUGCCCGGAACCUGGGAUCUUGGAGGAACCCCUCUUUCCCCUCUAGUUAAGUAACCAAAUGUUUGCUGGACACACACAGCGUGGUCCCUUCAUGUGCCGGGUGUUUGGGGGAGGAGGGAUCAGAGGAGAGGACAGUCUUUGCUUUCUGGAGUUUGCUGCGGAAGCAUUAAUUAGGAGGACGAUAAAAGGCAAUGUCACAUUAAGAGCAUAACUGCUGGUUAGAAAUACGUUAUCGCUCUGGGCUCUAGGCUCCUGAAAGACAUGCCCACGUGUAGGCUGACGAGAUCAAGCUGCCAGCAUUAGAACGAGCCGCCACCUGCAAAAACAGGUUGUGGUUCCGAGUUGGUUUUGUGAAAGGAAUCGUCAGACCAACACCACCUGGGGGACAAAGCUGGAGGACGGCCCGACGUAACUCCCACUUGGAGGCUGAAGCAGCCGCAGAGAAGAGGGUACAAAGAUGGCGCUCUCCGUGGCCGCACCGCGCACCCAGCAUCCAGCCUCGCUCAAGACACUAGCGCUCCUUCAGACACAUGCGCAGUCGCUUCAGGUGCGUCCGACUCUUUGCGAACCCAUGGCCUGUAGCCCGCCAGGCUCCUCUGUCCACGGGAUUCUCCAGGUAACCUUAGGAAGUGUCUACAGGGACAAGGUUCAGAGCCUCUGCUUCUGAAGACACAUGUUCUCCUCCAGGGAACGCCAGCCGGGAGGACACACAGCCUCUUACUUCCAGAGCCCUGGUUCCUGCGGUCCACCGCAAGCGGGGUGUCCUCGUAACCACACCCUGGCCUCGCGUCAACCAGACGAGGUUCAGAUGCAGCGGGAGCACCAGCUGCCCACAGAGAUCUCUGGGAGGGCGGGAAACUCCAGCGUGGAUUUGAUGAAGGACAGAGCCUCCAAGUGGCUCCUGGGAUCCGUCAGUGUGAGACCUACAUGGAUGAUGUGCAGAAACUUUGCACGUGGAAAACACCCAACAUUCUUUCUUUCUUCUUGUUAUAUUUUAUUUUGGCUGCCCUGGGUCUUCCUUGCAGCCUGUGGGCUUUCUCUAAUUGGGGUGCGCAUGGGCUUCUCUCGUGGCAUAUGGUCUCUAGAGCAUGCGAGCUCAGUAGUUGGGACACGUGGGCCUUCUCUAGUUGUGGUGCAAGGGCUUAGUGGCCCUGUGGCGUGUGGGAUCUUAGUUCCUCGACCAGGGAUCAAACCUGCGUCCCUUACAGUGAGAGGCAGAGCCUUAACCACUGGGCCACCAGGAAAUUCUCCCAACACUCUACUUUUAUAUCUAUAUGAGAUGAUGGAUGUUCGCUGAACUUAUUGUGGUCAUCAUUCCAGGAUGCAUGUAAGUCAAAUCAUGAAGCUGUCACCUUAAACUUGCACAGUGC
Bos taurus (domestic cattle) is the source of this 1853-nucleotide long non-coding RNA. NCBI's taxonomy places the organism in Eukaryota, Metazoa, Chordata, Mammalia, Artiodactyla, Bovidae. The record is from Ensembl.